UCCACAGUAGAAAGUGACAUGAGUUUUCUUAUUCUUGUUUACUGACAUUUUCUAAAUGUCUAUUUUCAUGUAAGACUGUAAAUAUGUGUUUUUUUUUCUUUUUCUUUUUGGUUGAAAUAUGUGUUCGUUUCUAAAUAUAUCCAUUUGCUUACUUGCAGCAGUCGUGUUGUUCGUGUCUUCUUUGGUUACUGAUCUGAGUGAGUCAGCCUGCUGGUGAGGAGCCGCUGAUGCACACAGCCUCUCAGAGACGUCGACAACACACCCACUCGUGUUUUUGCGCACUUUCUCUGAACAAGUUGCAAAACAGAACAAGUGAAGUGAAAUAAGAAAGCAACAAACUCACUCUGACGUCAGUGAUGACGCCAGUAUUCCCAGCAGCAACUUGUGAGCAGCAACCUAAAGACGAUGGGUGGGAAACAGUGCAACAGGUGCGUACAGGUAAAUGUGUUCAUUUUUAACUUUCACACGGCUUUAGCAAUAAGGACCAGGCCUAAAAAUAUAUUGUUUAGACUUUGUCUGUAAUAUUGAGUAAAGUUUUAGAGUUCCUUCUUACAGAAAAUUAGAGAAAGAUGUGAAUGUAUUGUGUGACACUUAGCAGGGAAAACACUGACGGAUGAUUUAAAAUACCUGCAAAGGAAGAAAAAAUUUCUGUAAAAUGUGUAUAUAUGUUAUUUUUUAGACUGGUGGAGAAUAAACGUAUUCUUCAUUAAAAUGACUAAAAUCCAAUAUUCACGUCAUUAGUACAUCCUUACUCGGCGUUUUCAUUCAUUUAUAAUGAGCAUAGAAAUGAGCUAGCCUAAGCUUACUUUAAAAGAAAGUCAAAAGUAAACUGAAAAGGAUAAGAGUGGUUUGUAAUAUUUUGCAAGACGGCUGGGGGGGGAAGUCCUUCCAUAUUCUUCCAUAAAACUCAGACUUUCACCAACUGCAUUGCUGCCAUAAAGAAUCGCUUCGAGAAAUGUACAGAAGUUUUAUUGUUCCCGUAAGAAUUUCAGCGUCGUUCUUUAAACCACAUCCUUAAAAAUGUUAAAAUGUCACCAAACCGCACAAUAUCACAGAGCCUGUCAAGACUGUCAGCCAUAAACUCAUGGCCCCCCCUGACUUUUCUGUCUAUUCAAUGCAGGAGACCAUUGUGCCGUUCUUGUGUCAAAUGGUCAUUUCAUUAAUAGCUGACCUAAUACUCAACUCUCUUUGGGUAUUCCACAUAGCAUUUGCUGCCUGGAGGUCUAAAAACACUGAGUAACAUAACAAUUCAACCAUGCAACUUUUUCUGCACAGACUGAUUUUUACAAUCUAUGUCAUAAAGUUGAGACAUAGAUUGAAAUGUCAAUAAAAUGCCACUUAUUGCCCCAGAUUUCUGUCUACACCUGGUUGAAAGUCGCACAAAGACACAAAAUUAAGUUUCGUUGGGGUUUUAUGUGACGAGGCUCGACUCUUGAUAGUUGAAUCUGAUUAUUGAAGGAGCUAUAUCGGGAUGAGAGCAAGGAGGCAUUUGAAAGCACUGGAGCUGUUUACCAAAGAUGAAUCAUAAUUAUCAGAGGGAACAUGAAAACAGCUGGUCAGGUUUGAUUAAUGUCACGCAAGAUUUUUUCCGUCGAUUAUUGAGACGGGUAUAAAGAAUUUCAAACAUGUGACUCAGAUCAAAUGCAGCUCGAAACAAAUGCAUUUUUUGUUGCUUUUAUUAUCCCAUAAAUUGAUAGCCCUUUUACAUUGUGUAAUGUGCAUACAUCCAUCUGCUUUAGACAAAAAUGUUUCACAAUAUCAGGUCUGAAUCCCAUUACCAUGCAAAAAAAAAAAAAAAAAAAAAGCCAUUACCCAAAGUAGGAAAGUAGGGUGUUAUGUAAUAAAAUUAUUCAAAUUACCCAGCUGCAUGCUUACAUCAAGUCAAAACCCUGAUGUUGUGCCUAUAAAAGCUUUUGCAUGUCUGUCUCUGUGGAACCUCAGUGGUGUAACAUCAGUGGAAAGUGCCAUACCUACCCUAAUCCCUUUUAUAAGCUCUGUAGCGAAGGGGACUGAUGAAAGUUCAGCUGAUGUGGACAUCAACUAAAAAUAUAGCCUGCUCUCUCGAGUGUCUUUUUCGCUAUAGAUAAUUUAAUCUAGACAUAUUAGAGACAGGCCGCUUAGUUUUCUUUUCUUGAGUUUGUUUUGUAAUCGUUUUUCCAUUUAUAGGUGAAGAAGAUCCAUGACUUUAUGAUUUGCAAGUGAGGUUUCUACCCGUCUUAUGAGACAAAACCGUAGCAGUAAAAUACGUAAUGGCUAACAACUAAAAUUUUAAGAAAACGUUAAGCAUGGACAAAAGGAUUAAAAACGCAUUUUUGUGAAGAAAUCUUUAUUGGAGUUUACAACACUGGCGCUCAUUUGUUAAGGUUUUUUUGUUUUUGGAUCGGAGUUGGUGUCAUCCUUUUAACAGUUUCCUGAAGAAGCUGACAAAAAAAUUAGCAUAUUUUAACACCUAACAACAACAGAGAUCUGACCUCAAUCAAACAAGUGGCACUUUGUUUUUCACCGUCAGAAAAUUUAAGAUUGACAGUCCAGUUUUUGCAAACAGAAAAACAAACCAGCAGGAAAGGAUGCCAAGUUAUUAUUUCUGCACGGAUAAGACUAAAGUUUCAAAUAAGCAUUUCAGAAGCUUGUUUUGUUUUCUGUAGGACUGUGAACUGGCGUGCUACAAGCUAAGCUACCAGAAUACUCUGCUGUUUCUUGGCAGCAUUACAGCGAUGGUCGUUUUCAAUUCAAAACUCUUGAGCCACUGAUGCCACGAUUCAUGAUUGUCAUUUAAAACUAACAAGGAGGAAUAUCUUCAGUUUCUUGAGCUGCUAAUUGAACUUGGAGUGUGUUAUGGUGCCAAGUAGCUCCCAACAGAAGGAAAAUGUUUUUAGUCAGUUUUUUUUCUUAUGAAUAAAAUUGUUGUUACACUGUGUUUCAGUAUUUAUUCCUAUUGAUAUGCGGUGUCAUUUGUAACUUUUAACUAAUUUAAUUCCCAUGUGUUUAGCCAUAUUUCGCUUUACUUUUUUUUGUCAAAUAUUUUGGUGGCUUAAAUAUGUUGUAGAAAACUCAAAUCCCAGGAUUCAUUUAACUGUACAUUAUUUUCUGAGAUUUUAAUUACACGCAGCCUCAUUUAGGCCAAUUGGCUUUAAGUAUUUAAUUGCCUGAAUAAAGUAAUGUUGUUGACUGACUACUUCUUAAUCAUUCAACAACACUUCUUUACAAUACCAAAACCUAAGCCAGAUUUUGAAACAUUGCUUUAAUUAAUUUACAGUUAAAGUAGGUAGGAGGUAUUAUGGAAUGUAUGCUGCUGGGAGACUUCUUGUAAACAAAAUGUUUUGGUUCUUCAUAUUCAGUGGGCAAAACAAAUGCAAAAUUCUCCUCACAUUAACCUUUGAUGGAGUAUUUUCCAACAGAAACGAGGCAAAUGCUAGCAAAUUUUAAGCUAAUGUAUGACAAACACCAACUAUCCUGUUCUAUAGUUCAGGUGUUGCCCAAACAAUUUAAAUUCUUGUCUUUUAGCCCAAAACAUGAGUACAUAUUUUACUCAAAUAAGUUGCCCUGAAAAAGCCAGAAAGCAUUGAAGUAAGCUCAAAUUUUAAAUGUUUAUAAGCUAGCCAAAUAACUACAUAGCUAGCUAAAUAGUUAUGCAGCUAGCUUUUUAGCUAGUUAAAUGGCUAUACAACCAGGCUCUCUGUAACCUAGCUAGAUGGAUUGGUUAUAAACACUAGAAAACAACCACUUCUUCCCAAUACAUCCCAGAUUUCCUGUAUUAACAAAUUUAAUGUUGUCAGGGUUAGUAGCUGAGUAGCUAACAGGAACAAGGCAAAUGCUAGCUUUUGCCAGGCAAAUGCGGCCAUGUCACUUGGCUUUCGGUUUAAGAGAUGAUACAAAAACCACUGAGUCGAACUUCAUGAAUUAUAACCAGAAACAUGAGAAACUAUUUUGGCUUACAUCCAAAUUAACUACUCUUGCUAGGUGUUUAAAAUGUAUCUAGGCAGCUUCACAACACAGUCAUGAUAAAAAUAAAUAAAUUUUAAAAAAAUGCCUCUUUGAAAGCAACACAAAAGGGGCGAAGGUAAAAAUGACCAGCACCCUUUUACCUUCAUAUUACAAGUUCUGCAUUAUCUUGACUUUAGACUAAAACUACAGUUGGCAAAUUACAAACUUUACCCAUCGUCAUUUCUUUUUCUUCUGUCUAAAAAUAAAGAAAAAAACUGAAAAAGAACUGCUGGUCAAAAAUCAUAUUUCUGAAAUUCACCUCAUAUUUGAGCGGAUAUUGCAAUAAACACAUUUUUUAUGACUGCUAUGCAAAAUAAUUAAACAAUUUAACUUUGUGACAUAUCCACUUUGAAGGGUAAAACUUAAAAAUUCAAUGCUUACAUAAUUUAACAUUGACUGUGCAUAGAUGUCCCAAUGUUCCCGCUCAUAAUUAAAAGUGGUCGAGUCAAUAGGUGCUUGGUAAUUAAUGUCGGCGUUUGAAGAGUACAGAAACGUAGAAUGGACCCAUCAUCAGAAUCAGUGUGCAAAACUAAAAUAUCUUUAUUUUAGCAUCACAUAAUGAAUUACCUGAUUACAAUAAACAGGUGUGUAUUAAUACUCUGCCUUCUACUGUAAAAAAAACAAAUGAGCACAAAAGUCAAUUAAAUCUGUAGUGUCACAGAGAU
Long non-coding RNA from Poecilia latipinna (sailfin molly), 4649 nucleotides. RefSeq lists it as uncharacterized. The record is from RefSeq and is a predicted model, not a curated record. Lineage: Eukaryota; Metazoa; Chordata; Actinopteri; Cyprinodontiformes; Poeciliidae. The transcript has 2 exons.